RNAcentral lists this ribosomal RNA (459 nucleotides) under Rhinella centralis. RNAcentral's name for it is "partial large subunit ribosomal RNA". It matches the Rfam family "Bacterial large subunit ribosomal RNA", at positions 1944 to 2552 of the family's 2925-position model. The record is from RNAcentral. Lineage: Eukaryota; Metazoa; Chordata; Amphibia; Anura; Bufonidae.
AACCGUGCGAAGGUAGCGUAAUCACUUGUUCUUUAAAUGUGGACUAGUAUGAACGGCAUCACGAAGGUUAUACUGUCUCCUUUUUCUAAUCAGUGAAACUAAUCUCCCCGUGAAGAAGCGGGGAUAAAAUUAUAAGACGAGAAGACCCUAUGGAGCUUUAAACAAUACAGCACUUACCUAAAAAUCUUUAAUGUUUCUGUANACACUNAACUCUUUAAAGUAAAAUGACUGCAAGUUUUUGGUUGGGGUGACCACGGAGUAUAUCAUAACCUCCAUGUUGAAAGAAUUUUNNUCUAAGCCAAGAAUAACCAAUCUAAGCAUUAACAAAUUAACAUCUAUUGACCCAAUAAAUUUGAUCAACGAACCAAGUUACCCUAGGGAUAACAGCGCAAUCCACUUCAAGAGCUCCUAUCGACAAGUGGGUUUACGACCUCGAUGUUGGAUCAGGGUGUCCCAGUG